GAUGAACGCUGACAGAAUGCUUAACACAUGCAAGUCAACUUGAAUUUGGGUUUUUAACUUAGAUUUGGGUGGCGGACGGGUGAGCAACGCGUAAAGAACUUGCCUCACAGCUAGGGACAACAUUUAGAAAUGAAUGCUAAUACCUGAUAUUAUGAUUUUAAGGCAUCUUAGAAUUAUGAAAGCUAUAAGCACUGUGAGAGAGCUUUGCGUCCCAUUAGCUAGUUGGAGAGGUAACAGCUCACCAAGGCAAUGAUGGGUAGCCGGCCUGAGAGGGUGAACGGCCACAAGGGGACUGAGACACGGCCCUUACUCCUACGGGAGGCAGCAGUGGGGAAUAUUGGACAAUGGACCGAGAGUCUGAUCCAGCAAUUCUGUGUGCACGAUGAAGUUUUUCGGAAUGUAAAGUGCUUUCAGUUGGGAAGAAAAAAAUGACGGUACCAACAGAAGAAGUGACGGCUAAAUACGUGCCAGCAGCCGCGGUAAUACGUAUGUCACGAGCGUUAUCCGGAUUUAUUGGGCGUAAAGCGCGUCUAGGUGGUUAUGUAAGUCUGAUGUGAAAAUGCAGAGCUCAACUCUGUAUUGCGUUGGAAACUGUAUAACUAGAGUACUGGAGAGGUAAGCGGAACUACAAGUGUAGAGGUGAAAUUCGUAGAUAUUUGUAGGAAUGCCGAUGGGGAAGCCAGCUUACUGGACAGAUACUGACGCUAAAGCGCGAAAGCGUGGGUAGCAAACAGG
This 735-nucleotide ribosomal RNA is filed under the name uncultured Fusobacterium sp. RNAcentral's name for it is "bacterial SSU rRNA". It matches the Rfam family "Bacterial small subunit ribosomal RNA", at positions 28 to 776 of the family's 1533-position model. The record is from RNAcentral. Lineage: Bacteria; Fusobacteriati; Fusobacteriota; Fusobacteriia; Fusobacteriales; Fusobacteriaceae.